UCAAAUUUUCUUCUCUUUGAAGUCUUUCGGGCUCCCGAACCGGUUUGCAUAUUGAGUUUCCCAGGACUGUUUUCCACCGCCUGGAGCAGUUGAGCGUGAAGAGCACCGUUCUCGAUGUCUUUAGCUACAAAUUGUUUUAGGUCUCAAUUGUGGUGCAAUUCGAUUGAUGGAUGAGAUCGCCUUAAGAAAAGUGCUGAAUAAAUAAUUGUUGAAUGAAAGGAUUUUUCAUUCAAAAUAAGAAUUCACUGGAGGAGAUUGUUCUUUCUGAACAUUGCUGUCUCUGGAUGUAACCAGAGACAGUGCUGGAACCACUGCAGCCAUCUGGCUGCUAGUGUGAUCGACCCACUGAGGAGGCAGACCCAAGAGACUACAAGGAGUAGAGUGCAAGCCAUCCUUGCAGAUCUCCGACUUCUGGAUUUCUCGAGAUAUAAAUGCCCUUCUAGUGGCAUGGGGGAAUCCUUCCCAUCAACUACUGGGCAUUCCCGAGUAUCGCAAAUGUCUUCCUGGAAGUUCAUUCAGCAAAUUCACAAUCAACUAUGAAUUUAACCUCCUGCACAAAUGAGAAAGACCAAUAACCAACCCAAUGUGACCAUCUACCCUAUACGCUAAUUUAAUUCAAAACUGGGGAAACGCGGAACUACCACAGGCUGAUUUCAUGAUACUGUUGCUUAUUUGCCACUACAGGAAAAUUUAUGAAAUGCUACGACAGGGAUCUUUCCACGUAUCAGCAGUAUUUCUAGUCUGAGUGUCCCACUGCCUCUUGGAUGAAGACAUUGAAAAGGCACAACGAAAACAGUGUAGCACUAAAAUUUUGCUUACAUACACUGAGCAAAAUGGGGGCUUGAAGCAACUACCAGGAUAUGGUUUGAAAACCACUAACAAUUUUCGCAGUAUUCUGUCAAAUAUUUUAAGGAAUAUAAAUUACGCAAAAGCUUUCCUCUCCAGCUGCUUCAUUCCACUUUAAAUAUGCAGAAGCAGAUACCAAAUGCUGCGUUAAUCCCUGGUUUGGGUUUUUGAAAUUUAGCAGUAAAAAUAAAAGCGUUGCACUAUUCUGAUAUGGUGCUAUUUUUAAAAGUUAUUUGAGGGACAUAUGAAAAUGAUAAGAUGAAAUACCUUAGAAAAAUCUGUUUUAUGAAAUAUUAGUGUUGCUAACUUUAUUUUUAAAUUGUUAUUGUAAUUUACUUUGCAUAAUUUAAAAAAAUCAAUUUCGUAUAGUAGAAACAUAUUCCAUUGUAGUAGGUGCUAGUUUGUCGUAUCAACUUGGGUGAUUCUUUUGGAUGAUUUUAAUUAAAAAAAAUUGGUAUUGUUGGCUCAGAGGGUAUUACUUAUCAUUACUUUUGUUCUAUGAAUAAUCUUUCUAAUGUGUGUUAGGACCUAGGAUUACCUUUCAACUGAAAGCUUAAUAUCCUUUUGUUAUCACUCUUGAGCUUUGUUUAAAAUAACCAAAUUCCUUUGUGAAUUUUUAAUUUUUUUCAUUUGUUUAUGGGGAAAAUUUAGGAAAGUUUCAUUUUGAUUCCAAAGCUGUAAAGUUAACUUUCUAAUCAAUUUCGCAAGUAUGAGGCUAUUUCUAAAUACACAAUCAUUCUUGUUUGAGAAACAACUGCUGAGCAAUGUUUUGAUCCUCUUGGAAAAGUAUCUUUAAUACAAACAGUAUUUAGGAAACGUGAAUAUAAGAGAGGACUCGGCAAAAUCUUUAGGAGGAGGCGAAUUGCUACGUAAAAUGUCUAAAAGAAAAAAAUAAAAGAAUUUCUUUUAGUUUUUAAUUUGCUUUUUUGGUCCGAUAAAAACCAGGAGGUGCUUCACAAUACCUUUCUUGUUUUCUGACGCUCCUCCUUCUUGCCACCAGAUGUCAGACUUUCACUGCGAAUUUAAAACCCUUCAUUGCGUAGGGGACACCGUUAUCUUUUUAUUUGUAAAUGUCCACUAUUCCGAAACCAUCUCUUUCCACUUUUGCGCACGAUUUAAAAACUUGUCCUUAAUAUGAAUUUUCAGACGUUGAUUAUAGCUGUUUCAGGCAUACUUUUGCAGUUUCAAUGUAAGUAUUCCUCUUUCAAUUCACUCUCGUGAGUUUUGUAUUUUGCGAUAUCUACGUUUAUACGUGCACAUCAAUAUUAGAUCUCUUAGCUUUAAAAUUAAAAUGACACAUAUAAA
Ailuropoda melanoleuca (giant panda) is the source of this 2151-nucleotide long non-coding RNA. RefSeq lists it as uncharacterized. NCBI's taxonomy places the organism in Eukaryota, Metazoa, Chordata, Mammalia, Carnivora, Ursidae. The transcript has 4 exons. The record is from RefSeq and is a predicted model, not a curated record.